Molecule: non-coding RNA, 27 nt
Filed under: Rattus norvegicus (Norway rat)
Lineage: Eukaryota; Metazoa; Chordata; Mammalia; Rodentia; Muridae
Source: RNAcentral
UGACACCCGUGUUGACCAUUACAGUGU